CCUACGGGAGGCAGCAGUGGGGAAUAUUGGGCAAUGGGCGCAAGCCUGACCCAGCAACGCCGCGUGAAGGAAGAAGGCUUUCGGGUUGUAAACUUCUUUUCUCAGGGACGAAGAAAGUGCCGGUCCCUGAGUAAUAAGCCACGGCUAACUACGUGCCAGCAGCAGCUGUAAUACGUAGGGGGCGAGCGUUAUCCGGAUUUGUUGGGUGUAAGGGUCUUGUCUGCGGGAGCGCAAGUCAGAUGUGAAAACUCAGGGAUCAACCCUGAGCCUGCAUUUGAAACUGGGUUCAUUGAGUGCUGGAGAGGCAAUCGGAAUUCCGUGUGUAGCGGUGAAAUGCGUAGAUAUACGGAGGAACACCAGUGGCGAAGGCGGAUUGCUGGACAGUAACUGACGCUGAGGCGCGAAAGCGUGGGGAGCAAACAGGAUUAGAUACCCGUGUAGUC
This 443-nucleotide ribosomal RNA is filed under the name uncultured bacterium. RNAcentral describes it as "partial 16S ribosomal RNA". It matches the Rfam family "Bacterial small subunit ribosomal RNA", at positions 338 to 795 of the family's 1533-position model. The record is from RNAcentral.